RNAcentral lists this ribosomal RNA (253 nucleotides) under uncultured bacterium. RNAcentral describes it as "partial 16S ribosomal RNA". It matches the Rfam family "Bacterial small subunit ribosomal RNA", at positions 524 to 776 of the family's 1533-position model. The record is from RNAcentral.
UACGUAGGGUGCAAGCGUUAAUCGGAAUUACUGGGCGUAAAGCGUGCGCAGGCGGUUUUGUAAGUCUGUCGUGAAAUCCCCGGGCUCAACCUGGGAAUUGCGAUGGAGACUGCAAGGCUAGAAUCUGGCAGAGGGGGGUAGAAUUCCACGUGUAGCAGUGAAAUGCGUAGAGAUGUGGAGGAACACCGAUGGCGAAGGCAGCCCCCUGGGUCAAGAUUGACGCUCAUGCACGAAAGCGUGGGGAGCAACGAGG